AUUACUCUCACUGUCUCACAUGUAUCAUUGUGUUUCAGCCAAAAGUAAGAAAAAAAGGGAAGGAGAGCUUGAGAAAAAUGCCUUGAUACAGCUGUGACUGAUUGGAAAUGCAGCACUCAAAGCCCAUUGGAGCCACACAACAGAAACUCUUCCUUUAACUCAUUUCUGUGAGCUGGGAGAAAAAGUGAGGUGUGGAAAUGAGAGUGUGUUCUGAAGAUGCAUGGAGGGAACUUGUGAAGGAUAUCUAACAAUUGGAGAAUGUGUGUGUGUGUGUGUGUUGGUUUGUGGGAUAUAUGUAUGUUCCAGUCUCCACAGGGGCUCUGGAAGUAAAUCAAAUCGGUGUGUGUGUGCAUCAGUGCAGACAGAUCUUGGUACCGAGGAUGUGAGUAGUUUUGAAAUGCAUGGCUUCUCCACGCCGGCCACCGGUCAUGUCUUAUUUCCGGAUGAAAGCGAAGAAACCCCCACCCCGCUGUUCUCGCCCUUCCCUUUAAAAGCUGGACGCUGAGGCUUCCCAUCAGAGCAAGGAGGCCCUGCUCCUCUUCAUCUGCGUAAGAGGGAGGGGGUCUCUCUUCUGUGUCCCCCCAUCAAGCUGCCCCCAGCCGGGCCUUUGUCCCGUUCCAGCAUCUUUUCUCCAGUGCUGUCGCUUCAAACAUCUCUCACGAUGCUUUGGAGGACUGUGAACUGUUUC
Cyprinus carpio carpio is the source of this 688-nucleotide long non-coding RNA. The record is from Ensembl. Lineage: Eukaryota; Metazoa; Chordata; Actinopteri; Cypriniformes; Cyprinidae.